Molecule: ribosomal RNA, 479 nt
Filed under: uncultured organism
Description: partial 16S ribosomal RNA
Rfam family: Bacterial small subunit ribosomal RNA
Source: RNAcentral
GUACACUCCUGCGGGAGGCAGCAGUGGGGAAUUUUGGACAAUGGGCGAAAGCCUGAUCCAGCAAUGCCGCGUGAGUGAAGAAGGCCUUCGGGUUGUAAAGCUCUUUUGUCAGGGAAGAAACGGUGAAAGCUAAUAUCUUUUGCUAAUGACGGUACCUGAAGAAUAAGCACCGGCUAACUACGUGCCAGCAGCCGCGGUAAUACGUAGGGUGCAAGCGUUAAUCGGAAUUACUGGGCGUAAAGCGUGCGCAGGCGGUUUUGUAAGUCUGAUGUGAAAUCCCCGGGCUCAACCUGGGAAUUGCAUUGGAGACUGCAAGGCUAGAAUCUGGCAGAGGGGGGUAGAAGUCCACGUGUAGCAGUGAAAUGCGUAGAUAUGUGGAGGAACACCGAUGGCGAAGGCAGCCCCCUGGGUCAAGAUUGACGCUCAUGCACGAAAGCGUGGGGAGCAAACAGGAUUAGAAACCCCUGUAGUCCCAUGAU